UCAUUACUCCCUCCGAUCCAUAUUACUUGUCUUAUAUUUGUCAAGAUACGGAUGUAUCUAACACUAAAACGUGUCUUGACAAAUCUAAGACAAGUUAUAUGGAUCGGAGGGAGUAACAA
Molecule: non-coding RNA, 119 nt
Organism: Triticum aestivum (bread wheat)
Lineage: Eukaryota; Viridiplantae; Streptophyta; Magnoliopsida; Poales; Poaceae
Source: Rfam